UAAGUUAGCUAGACAACCGCUGUUUUUUAUUUUUUUAUAAUCAUUAAUAAAAAUAUAAAAAGUAGAGGAAAGUCCGGGCUCCUUAGGGCAGGGUGCCAGAUAACGUCUGGGAGGGUAAUCCUACGACUAGUGCAACAGAAAAUAAACCGCCAAUGACUUUAAAAAGUACAGGUAAGGGUGAAAAGGUGUGGUAAAAGCACACCACACAAUUGGUAACAAUUUUGUGGUAUGGUAAACUCCACCCGGAGCAAGGCCAAAUAAAGGUUCACUAAAUACGGCCCGUAUUGAACCUGGGUAGGCCGCUCGAGUUAAUACGUGAGUGUUAACCUAGAUGAAUGGUUGUCCAUGACAGAACCCGGCUUAUUGAUUGACUUUUAAA
RNAcentral lists this RNase P RNA (379 nucleotides) under Arsenophonus sp. Its description in RNAcentral is "RNase P RNA component class A". It matches the Rfam family "Bacterial RNase P class A". Rfam says of the family: Ribonuclease P (RNase P) is a ubiquitous endoribonuclease, found in archaea, bacteria and eukarya as well as chloroplasts and mitochondria. The record is from RNAcentral. Lineage: Bacteria; Pseudomonadati; Pseudomonadota; Gammaproteobacteria; Enterobacterales; Morganellaceae.